This 1775-nucleotide long non-coding RNA is filed under the name Leguminivora glycinivorella. Its description in RNAcentral is "uncharacterized LOC125232088". Lineage: Eukaryota; Metazoa; Arthropoda; Insecta; Lepidoptera; Tortricidae. The record is from RNAcentral.
GCGGUCGCUAGGGUCGCUAGGGUCAAUACUGAGGCGUGGAAUGAGGAAGAAUCGCAGUAACUCAAGCUGAGCGGUCGCUAGGGUCGCUAGGCGCAGGCGCUAAACCGAGCUGAGUACGACGCGUGGGUGGCGCCUACCGGCUGCAACUCAACUAAACAGAACCCGUCGCAUGGGUCAAUACUGAGGCGUGGAAUGAGGAAGAAUCGCAGUAACUCAAGCUGAGCGGUCGGUAGGGUCGCUAGGCGCAGGCGCUAAACCGAGCUGAGUACGACGCGUGGGUGGCGCCUACCGGCUGCAACUCAACUAAACAGAACCCGUCGCAUGGGUCAAUACUGAGGCGUGGAAUGAGGAAGAAUCGCAGUAACUCAAGCUGAGCGGUCGGUAGGGUCGCUAGGCGCAGGCGCUAAACCGAGCUGAGUACGACGCGUGGGUAGCGCCUACCGGCUGCAACUCAACUAAACAGAACCCGUCGCAUGGGUCAAUACUGAGGCGUGGAAUGAGGAAGAAUCGCAGUAACUCAAGCUGAGCGGUCGCUAGGGUCGCUAGGGUCAAUACUGAGGCGUGGAAUGAGGAAGAAUCGCAGUAACUCAGCCGAGCGGUCGCUAGGGUCGCUAGAUGCAGUAGAACGAAGAAGAAGCUGGCAACUUGAAUGCAAGUGUGCAUUAGAUGGCGCCACCAUAGCUUUGCCCGGACAAGAGUUUUGCUCUAUGAGAUUUGACUUCUAAUAUUAAAAUACUUGGACCGAUUCAGGGAGAAGAACGCGCUUUAUCAGCACACUCACGCUCCUUUGAAAGCAAAAGCAUAAUAUUAUUGUUAAUGUAUUUUUUUUUCUAGUAUGUAACUUGUAACGUAAUGUAACGUGUGUUGUCAUGUAACUACUGAAUUUUUGAUUGACAAAUAAGUUAUCAGUUAGUUAGUUGUAUUAGGUAAUUAAUUUAAUUGAAAUUGUGCACACAUGCUCCCGCAAUUUGGCAAUAUCAACAACGUUUAUUAAAGUUUUUCGAAUGCAUAUCGCAAAUGUCAGAAUAUUCUGUUCAUAAAAGUUAUGGAUUGUCAUGCCUUUUUCCAAUGACCCUUAUUUAGGGUAAAGUAACACCAAACAAAGUAUUUGUGAGACAGUUUAACCUUUUGGCCGCCAGAGACUUAAACGGAAAAUCGUGACCACGACGCCACUUUUAUGUUAGCAUAAUUUCUUUACCCAUCCUUAAUUUACCCCCGUGGCGUCAGUGGCACGGUUUUCCGUUGACGUCAUUUGCUGUAUUUGGCGUUCAAAAGGUUAAAAACAUAAAAUUUACCAUAAAUUAAGACCCAUAAAAUUGUAAACAUCUGCGGCGAUUUAUGAUGAUUGUGUUAACUAAACGUAACAUAAGCAUUUGUAAAUGUAAUCAAUUUUAGCAUAUUACUUACCAAAACUCACCUGUGCUAUUCCAUUUCCCUGUUAUCCCCAAUCGUGCUGGUAGCAGCGAAGUGCAAUGCUUUCUACCUUUCCCCAAAAUCUCAGUCCUGCGAGUGCGAGGUGCAAAAUGUAAGUAUUUAUCAAAAAGGGACGGCUGUUUCGCAGGCUAGAUAAUGUUUCCUCCUCUCUUGUACUAGGCCGACUAGUACUCCGAUGCGCCUAUCUCCUCCUUCCUUAUAUCCGUAGCUAGUUAUCAGAAAAAUAAAAAAUAAAUCAUCCGUUUGUUUUUCUUAUGCAACAGGCGUUUAAAGGAGGUCAAAAAAGACAAGUGGCGUGGGUAACAAUUUGAGGCGAAGUAUUUUUUGACUCAGUUAAACAC